Molecule: unclassified non-coding RNA, 253 nt
Filed under: uncultured Chitinophagales bacterium
Lineage: Bacteria; Pseudomonadati; Bacteroidota; Chitinophagia; Chitinophagales
Description: contains 16S-23S intergenic spacer region
Rfam family: Bacterial small subunit ribosomal RNA
Source: RNAcentral
UACGUAGGUGGCAAGCGUUGUCCGGAAUCACUGGGUUUAAAGGGUGCGUAGGCGGACUUGUAAGUCAGGGGUGAAAUCCUACAGCUUAACUGUAGAAUUGCCUUUGAUACUGCGAGUCUUGAAUUAGGUUGAGGUCAGCGGAAUGUGGCAUGUAGCGGUGAAAUGCAUAGAUAUGCCAUAGAACACCGAUUGCGAAGGCAGCUGGCUGGGCCUUAAUUGACGCUGAGGCACGAAAGCGUGGGGAGCGAACAGG